UCAUACGAAUGAGCGAGACAUUUUUGGGAGAACUGAUGCAGCAGUGCAAUACAGCUAAUAGUGUGCAAAGCCGAGACAUGCUGCAGAUAGGAUUAGAUAUCUUAAAGGACAGAAUACAUCACCACAAUGCAAUGGUUAUGUUAAGUAGGGAUUCUCUUUGCCCUAUAGGUGAAAACCCACCUGUUGAUGGUCAGGGAGAGUGCUGGACAUUUGGCUGUGCUCGUACACUGCUGAUGUUGGAGCGCUUUGAGACCAUUCUGUUGAGGAGUCAGGAGAACCCCCCUCCGUAUGAGGAGAGGUCUCAACCACACCAGUAGAGGAAACAAGGUCUUCCAGUGACUGUAAACAAAAACAAUAAUAUUUAUAGACAGUUAUCAAAUUUAAUAUUUAUAGUUUUUAACACAAAUCUGUUUAAUAGAAAUACAAUUAAAAUUAUGCUAACAAAUAUUUCUUUUCUUAUAUUGUUAUACUUUCAAAAGAAAAUAAAGGGAAUUUGUCUUUCAUAAAGUAGGUGUCAAUUUUUUGUAAACAAUAAAAAUGGCGGAUGUUGAAAACAAGUUACGUAAUAGCAUCUUACACAAACUUUAUCCGCAAUCUGCACUUCCGUGCUAGGGGUUGCUACAAUGGCCUGGCAACAAUUGUCUAUGGUGCAUGUUUUGAUGGCUACUUUUUCUAACUGCUGGCCAAAAGUCAUUAAUGUACUGGAACCCGCCAGUCUGUCCAGGGUAAUCUUCUUCACUGAAGUCGGCCCAUUGAAAAUGUAGCUGCCUUCCCCCUCAUACAGGCACUGCAGCUCCACUACCUCGUAGCUUUCAUCAACCACACUUCUGCAUUUCCUUAUAUUAAGGUCAUGCACUUGGCCAUUACAUACAACAAUACUCAACAACAACAAACACUUAGCGGGCACCAUUUUUUGAUUUUUCAGUUUUUUCUCUGUGAAUCGUUUGCGCAUGUGCACAUAAUCAACAGUUUAAUUAAAAAUAAAAAGGCGGGAGAUUAUGAUUGUGUCAACAAAAAAAAAAUAAAAAGAACAAUACGAAAAAGAAUAAAUAUGAAAGAAUUGAGAUGUUGCUAUAUGAUCUUCAACAAUAGCAUAACUCGAAAAAAAAGGAGGGAACGGAAACAUAUAAUAAGAAAAUAUUAGGUACGAGACAAUGGCACUCAAAAAAAAAUUUCAGAAAAAAAAUCGAACGUUUUGGGGUUUUUUUUACAAUGUAGCUGCUUUAGAUAAAGAUUUUAAGUUAAGAAACCCAAAAAUAAAGCAGAUGAAAUAUUAUCACAGUAUAGUUUCUAGAGAUUCAUCAACACGUUGUUUUGUUGUUAAGCGCAUUUUUGUUUGCGCACCACAUAAACAAUUUGGUAUAGAGUUGUUAUGCGAAACCUAAGAAUGGGGUGGUUAUCCCUCCAUUAGUCCCACCCCAUACUUCAAAGUGUAAUAUUAUUGGUUUAGAUAAUAUUAGCUAGAAAAAUGAAAUAAAUAUAGUAGUGCGUAUUUUUCGUUUACAAGUCAGUACUUCUAACCUUUGUCUAGAAAUCUAUUUACGAUUAAGUGUUAUAAUGGCAGCCGAAAAUGUUCAAUUUAGUCAAAUUAUUACUUCCACUGGUAGAACGGAAUACAAAACUCAAUUCGGGAGAGGGAAAGUGCUUACCUAUAAAAAGUCCGCUAGAGGACUCUUUUAUUUAGACUUGGCUGCGUCAAAUGGAUCAAUGAAGCUGAAUUUAGGGCUAGACGAGCUGGAUGAUCUGUUUACACUGAGGGGGCACCUAGAGUCCCUAACUGCAUACUUUCCACAGGUAAGACUAUUUUCUUUCUUUUUGUUUUUACACGAGGUUCACAUGUAGGAGUUUUCUUUAAAAACCAAGGAAAAUUAAAGAUUAUACCCUUUGAGGUGUUUUUUUUUCUCUGUUUGUAUGCGCUUACCGUAAACAACAGGAAGGUUUUAAGUAUUGUCUAUUACCGUUUAUCUUUCUGUUUAUCUAUCUACCUCGCUUUUGUUAGGGGAGAUAUCGGUGUUCACAUUUGCCUUUUAUUUUAACUAAUUUAAUGCAACAAUUGAAUAACAUAAAACGAAGAUGUGGUAUGAUUGUUAAUAAGAUAACUCUUCACAAGAGACCAAAUGAUACAGAAAUUGUCAACUUUUGGUCACCUUGCGACCAUCAACAAUAAGCAAAACCCAUACCUCAUAGUCAGCUAUAAAUAGCUUCAAAAUGAUGAAUGUAAAACAAACAUCCGAGGGGAGAAAAAAGAUAACAACCUAAUUUAUGUACAAAAUAAUGAACGAAAAACAAUAUGCACACCACCAACACCUCUCGCAAGUAUAAAACUUUCUUCAUAACAUUUGAGUUUGAGUUUUAUUUUAUUUUUCAUGUUUUAGCCGCUCUCCCAGCCACAGGAGCAGGUUGUACUUAAAGAAAAUGUAGCGCCGGUUUAUGCACCGCCACCACCACCAACACCUUCCGCACCUCUAACAAUAAUAUAUGAAAACGAGACGUCAACUACCACUCCACUUCAAACUAUAACAGACCCGAUGUGGAGCAAAGGAAAUAUGAUUCCGGUGAGGAUGGCCGCAAAGAGACCGAUACGUGAAGAAUUAAACCCACAGUGGUCUGGGAAGAAUACAAAAUAUGAACAGAUUUCCCCUGUGCAAAACAAUUUAUAUGAUCUCUCUGAGGAGGAAAUGGGAGCCUUUUUCCAAUCGAUGUGAUGAUGCUCAAUGUGGUGUGACUUUCAUUCAAUGUGGUGUUUAUAGGAAUAACAUUUAUAAAUUUCAUUACGGACAUAUAUGCAAACAGACUGACACGGCAUUCUACCUCCUGUUUGGUUUAACGGAUGAUGGUUGGCAACAUGGGUGAAUAAAGAAUCAACAUCAUCAAAGGAGACAUCACAGUGUCUACAUAAAAAUGCUACCCAAUGUCUUCCUGGUAAGCCUGCGACAUCUGUAUUGGCUAUCACACCCAUUCCUGGUAGUAGGUGAACUUGAGACAGUUCAUCAGAUGAGAAUACACCAAGAACAGAUCGUUGUAAGUCAACGUCUGAAACAAUGGCACACUUGAGCUGGAACAUAAUGCGGAACUUCGAAAAUGUUUGACCAGUUUCCCAUAGAGGCUGCACUUAACCUUCGAAGAAGUGGCUUUUGUUCUCCAUCGACAAUAGAUUCACCACAAAUAUUAGAAUACAGAACCUGAAUCCACAGAUACUUUGAAAAGAUAUCCACGACGACUAAUAGGUAUCGAAACUGACCGUUUUCACUUGCAAUGUUUGACAUAUCAGCGAGGUCCAUGUCCCACUGAUCAUCAAUUCCAGAUACAAUUACACGUGCACGACGAAAAGAAUGACGGAGUUCCUUUCUUAAAGUGUAACUGUCUUGACUUCGUAAUAGUCUUUUUAUCCUGGAUCGUCCAACAUUAGUGAUUCCUUUGGAUUUUAAUAUUCUGUAUAUUUUUUCGGGACCUACAUGUGUGUUUUUAUAUGUGUUUGAUAUUAAAUCAUUUAUUCUA
Long non-coding RNA from Mytilus californianus (California mussel), 3498 nucleotides. RefSeq lists it as uncharacterized. The transcript has 7 exons. NCBI's taxonomy places the organism in Eukaryota, Metazoa, Mollusca, Bivalvia, Mytilida, Mytilidae. The record is from RefSeq and is a predicted model, not a curated record.